UUUCCGUAGGUGAGCCUGCGGAAGGAUCAUUAAUGAGUUGUCAUGGGGUUCGAUGCUGGCAGCCAAUUUUUGGAUGCAUGUGCUUGCCCUAACAAUCAUCUUCCAAACACCUGUGCACAUUUUUGAGGGAGUCUUGAGUUGGUUGCCGCUCUUGGGUGAUUUUCUCACAUUCCCUUAAAUCAUUAUACGCUAUUAACAAUGUUGAACGUGCUCUGUGCCGCAAGGCUAUUAAUAUAAUACAACUUUUAACAACGGAUCUCUUGGCUCUC
Molecule: unclassified non-coding RNA, 269 nt
Filed under: plant metagenome
Description: partial contains small subunit ribosomal RNA, internal transcribed spacer 1, and 5.8S ribosomal RNA
Source: RNAcentral